GAUGAAUCAAAGAAGGUAAUAAUCCUGUAGUCGAAAAUGUUGUCUCUCUUGAGUGGAUCCUGAGUACGACGGAGCACGUGAAAUUCCGUCGGAAUCUGGGAGGACCAUCUCCUAAGGCUAAAUACUCUCUAGUGACCGAUAGUGAACCAGUACCGUGAGGGAAAGGUGAAAAGCACCCCGGAAGGGGAGUGAAAUAGAACCUGAAACCGUGUGCUUACAAGUAGUCAGAGCCCGUUAAUGGGUGAUGGCGUGCCUUUUGUAGAAUGAACCGGCGAGUUACGAUUUGAUGCAAGGUUAAGCAGUAAAUGUGGAGCCGUAGCGAAAGCGAGUCUGAAUAGGGCGUUUAGUAUUUGGUCGUAGACCCGAAACCAGGUGAUCUACCCUUGGUCAGGUUGAAGUUCAGGUAACACUGAAUGGAGGACCGAACCGACUUACGUUGAAAAGUGAGCGGAUGAACUGAGGGUAGCGGA
Molecule: ribosomal RNA, 470 nt
Filed under: Staphylococcus aureus
Lineage: Bacteria; Bacillati; Bacillota; Bacilli; Caryophanales; Staphylococcaceae
Description: partial 23S ribosomal RNA
Rfam family: Bacterial large subunit ribosomal RNA
Source: RNAcentral